CAAGUAACACCUCAGGAAAAAGAAGCU
RNAcentral lists this non-coding RNA (27 nucleotides) under Cricetulus griseus (Chinese hamster). The record is from RNAcentral. Lineage: Eukaryota; Metazoa; Chordata; Mammalia; Rodentia; Cricetidae.